GCCCGGGUGGUGAAAUUGGUAGACACGCCAUCUUGAGGGGGUGGUGGGCGAAAGCCCGUGCUGGUUCAAAUCCAGUCCCGGGCACCA
Molecule: transfer RNA, 87 nt
Filed under: Pseudobdellovibrionaceae bacterium
Lineage: Bacteria; Pseudomonadati; Bdellovibrionota; Bdellovibrionia; Bdellovibrionales; Pseudobdellovibrionaceae
Also listed under: 1 other name
Description: Bdellovibrionaceae bacterium tRNA-Leu
Rfam family: tRNA
About the family: Transfer RNA (tRNA) molecules are approximately 80 nucleotides in length. Their secondary structure includes four short double-helical elements and three loops (D, anti-codon, and T loops). Further hydrogen bonds mediate the characteristic L-shaped molecular structure. tRNAs have two regions of fundamental functional importance: the anti-codon, which is responsible for specific mRNA codon recognition, and the 3' end, to which the tRNAs corresponding amino acid is attached (by aminoacyl-tRNA synthetases). tRNAs cope with the degeneracy of the genetic code in two manners: having more than one tRNA (with a specific anti-codon) for a particular amino acid; and 'wobble' base-pairing, i.e. permitting non-standard base-pairing at the 3rd anti-codon position.
Source: RNAcentral